This is a long non-coding RNA of Stegastes partitus (bicolor damselfish), 92 nucleotides long. RefSeq lists it as uncharacterized. The transcript has 4 exons. Lineage: Eukaryota; Metazoa; Chordata; Actinopteri; Pomacentridae. The record is from RefSeq and is a predicted model, not a curated record.
GAGAAGCGGAGGACCGAACCGGAGGAAGGUCGACGGAGGAUCAGAGUUGUUCCGCAGUCAGCUGACCACACUUCCGUGACCCAGCAUGUCGA